GGAGAACACAAGAUGUGAAGAAAACAUGAAAUCAAGGAAAUGAGCACAAUGAGAAAGACAGUAAAAGCAGAGCACCUGGAUGAACAAUUGGGAUUUCCGAAAAGGAAAGCGUAGGCUAAAUUACGUCGAAUAUGGAUGAAUAUUGUCAAAUACAAAGAAAA
Molecule: long non-coding RNA, 161 nt
Organism: Spea bombifrons (plains spadefoot toad)
Lineage: Eukaryota; Metazoa; Chordata; Amphibia; Anura; Pelobatidae
Exons: 2
Source: RefSeq, a predicted model, not a curated record